AAUACGAAUUACAGUAACGGAUUGCCUUAGGUAAAAACCACCCUCAGAUACACGAACAAAUGGAACCCAAAUUGGAA
This 77-nucleotide transfer RNA is filed under the name Shewanella putrefaciens. Its description in RNAcentral is "tRNA-Arg". Lineage: Bacteria; Pseudomonadati; Pseudomonadota; Gammaproteobacteria; Alteromonadales; Shewanellaceae. The record is from RNAcentral.